RNAcentral lists this ribosomal RNA (402 nucleotides) under Triticum aestivum (bread wheat). Its description in RNAcentral is "partial small subunit ribosomal RNA". Lineage: Eukaryota; Viridiplantae; Streptophyta; Magnoliopsida; Poales; Poaceae. The record is from RNAcentral.
AUGCUCGCUCUUUUGCUAUGCCUAUGUUGCGAUACCUACCACUUGUUUAUCAUGCCUCCCAUAUUGUUAAGCCAAGCCUCUAACCACCUUGUCCUAGCAAACCGUUGCUUGGCUAUGUUACCGCUUUGCUCAGCCCCUCUUAUAGCGUUGUUAGUUGCAGGUGAAGAUUGGAGUUUCUUCCUUGUUGGAACAUGGAUAUUUUUGUUGGGAUAUCACAAUAUCUCUUAUUUAAUUAAUGCAUCUAUAUACUUGGUAAAGGGUGGAAGGCUCGGCCUUAUGCCUGGUGUUUUGUUCCACUCUUGCUGCCCUAGUUUCCGUCAUAUUGGUGUUAUGUUCCCGGAUUUUGCGUUCCUUACAUGGUUGGGUUAUAAUGGGAACCCCUUGACAGUUUGCCUUGAAUAA